GUACUGUCAGUAACAUUCUGAUAUGUACUGCAGUAACAUUCUGAUAUGUACUGUCAGUAACAUUCUGAUAUGUACUGUCAGUAACAUUCUGAUAUGUACUGUCAGUAACAUUCUGAUAUGUACUGUCAUAACAUUCUGAUAUGUACUGCAGUAACAUUCUGAUAUGUACUGCAGUAACAUUCUGAUAUGUACUGUCAGUAACAUUCUGAUAUGUACUGUCAGUAACAUUCUGAUAUGUACUGUCAGUAACAUUCUGAUAUGUACUGUCAGUAACAUUCUGAUAUGUACUGUCAGUAACAUUCUGAUAUGUACUGUCAUAACAGUAUGUUAUAAUCCUAUCAGACACAGAAGGAACAACUUUGAUAAACGUAUAUCAAGCACAUUCAAUGUAGACCCUCAAAGACAAGGCCCUUGUGUGUGUGUGUGUGUG
This is a long non-coding RNA of Oncorhynchus keta (chum salmon), 430 nucleotides long. RefSeq lists it as uncharacterized. NCBI's taxonomy places the organism in Eukaryota, Metazoa, Chordata, Actinopteri, Salmoniformes, Salmonidae. The record is from RefSeq and is a predicted model, not a curated record. The transcript is spliced from 3 exons.